UGCAAGUCGAGCGAGGGAGCACCUUCGGGUGUGAACUAGCGGCGGACGGGUGAGUAACACGUGGGCAACCUGCCUUACAGAGGGGGAUAGCCUUCCGAAAGGAAGAUUAAUACCGCAUAUUAUGAUUUUUCUGCAUGGGAAAGUCAUGAAAGGAGCAAUCCGCUGUAAGAUGGGCCCGCGGCGCAUUAGCUAGUUGGUGAGGUAAGGGCUCACCAAGGCGACGAUGCGUAGCCGACCUGAGAGGGUGAUCGGCCACAUUGGGACUGAGACACGGCCCAGACUCCUACGGGAGGCAGCAGUGGGGAAUAUUGC
This 312-nucleotide ribosomal RNA is filed under the name Clostridium sp. T55E15. RNAcentral's name for it is "bacterial SSU rRNA". It matches the Rfam family "Bacterial small subunit ribosomal RNA", at positions 56 to 367 of the family's 1533-position model. The record is from RNAcentral. Lineage: Bacteria; Bacillati; Bacillota; Clostridia; Eubacteriales; Clostridiaceae.